Molecule: ribosomal RNA, 1375 nt
Filed under: uncultured Gammaproteobacteria bacterium
Lineage: Bacteria; Pseudomonadati; Pseudomonadota; Gammaproteobacteria
Description: uncultured gamma proteobacterium 16S ribosomal RNA
Rfam family: Bacterial small subunit ribosomal RNA
Source: RNAcentral
UGAACGCUGGCGGCAGGCCUAACACAUGCAAGUCGAGCGCGAAAACACCUCGGUGUGAGUAGAGCGGCGGACGGGUGAGUAAUGCUUGGGAAUCUGCCCAGUAGUGGGGGAUAACGUGUGGAAACGCACGCUAAUACCGCAUACGUCCUACGGGAGAAAGCAGGGGAUCUUCGGACCUUGCGCUAUUGGAUGAGCCCAAGUCAGAUUAGCUAGUUGGUGAGGUAAUGGCUCACCAAGGCGACGAUCUGUAGCUGGUCUGAGAGGAUGAUCAGCCACACUGGGACUGAGACACGGCCCAGACUCCUACGGGAGGCAGCAGUGGGGAAUAUUGCACAAUGGGCGAAAGCCUGAUGCAGCCAUGCCGCGUGUGUGAAGAAGGCUCUAGGGUUGUAAAGCACUUUCAGUGGGGAGGAAAAGUUUAAGAUUAAUAAUCUUGAACCUUGACGUUACCUGCAGAAGAAGCACCGGCAAACUCCGUGCCAGCAGCCGCGGUAAUACGGAGGGUGCGAGCGUUAAUCGGAAUUACUGGGCGUAAGGCGCGCGUAGGUGGUUUGAUAAGCUAGCUGUGAAAGCCCCGGGCUCAACCUGGGAACUGCAGUUAGAACUGUCUGGGCUAGAGUAUAGUAGAGGGGUGGCGGGAAUUUCCUGUGUAGCGGUGAAAUGCGUAGAUAUAGGAAGGAACAUCAGUGGCGAAGGCGGCCACCUGGACUAAUACUGACACUGAGGUGCGAAAGCGUGGGGGAGCAAACAGGAUUAGAUACCCUGGUAGUCCACGCCGUAAACGAUGUCUACUAGCCGUUGGGAGACUUGAUCUCUUAGUGGCGCAGUUAACGCGAUAAGUAGACCGCCUGGGGAGUACGGCCGCAAGGUUAAAACUCAAAUGAAUUGACGGGGGCCCGCACAAGCGGUGGAGCAUGUGGUUUAAUUCGACGCAACGCGAAGAACCUUACCAGGUCUUGACAUCCUGCGAACUUUCUAGAGAUAGAUUGGUGCCUUCGGGAACGCAGUGACAGGUGCUGCAUGGCUGUCGUCAGCUCGUGUCGUGAGAUGUUGGGUUAAGUCCCGUAACGAGCGCAACCCUUGUCCUUAGUUGCCAGCACAUAAUGGUGGGAACUCUAAGGAGACUGCCGGUGACAAACCGGAGGAAGGUGGGGACGACGUCAAGUCAUCAUGGCCCUUACGACCUGGGCUACACACGUGCUACAAUGGCCAGUACAGAGGGCUGCAAACCCGCGAGGGGGAGCUAAUCUCACAAAGCUGGUCGUAGUCCGGAUCGCAGUCUGCAACUCGACUGCGUGAAGUUGGAAUCGCUAGUAAUCGUGAAUCAGAAUGUCACGGUGAAUACGUUCCCGGGCCUUGUACACACCGCCCGUCA